This 24884-nucleotide long non-coding RNA is filed under the name Brassica rapa (field mustard). RNAcentral describes it as "long non-coding RNA (BRAP_LNC008313)". The record is from RNAcentral. Lineage: Eukaryota; Viridiplantae; Streptophyta; Magnoliopsida; Brassicales; Brassicaceae.
AUUUGUUUACUAAAAUCAUUUGAAUGGAAAUGAAAAUAAAAAAACAAACAUAAGAUCCAUUUAGAUGAUUCAUCUAUAAGAGCUAUGUGGAUGGACAAACAAAUAAUCACAAAAAUCUGAAUGAAUCAUUUGAAUAGAUCAUACAAAUGAAUCAUUUGGAUGGAGAUGACAAAUGGUGAAACAAACAGCCCCUAUGUUAUUACAAAAUGGGUGGAGAAUAUUAACAAUUCUAAUAAGUAAAUAUACAACAUAAGAAAUAGAAAUAUUACAUUAAACAUUUAUAGGUAAAUAUACAAUAUAAGGAAAAAUAAAUGAAAAGUAAAUAUACGUUAUAAGAAAUAGAAAUAUUACAUUAAACAUCUAUAAUAAUUUAUCAUCUAAUAUAAAAGCAAGAAAAUUAGAAUAAGUAAAUAUAUAAUAAAAAAAUAAAAAAAAUAUAUUAAACAUCUAUCUGAAAAAUGUAUCUAUACUAAUAAAAUGGAGCUUUUGAGGCUCAAUAGAGCGUCCACAUCAGCGAAAAAAAAACAUUUUGUGAAAGAUGACACGUGUCAUUAGUAAAAAAUAAAAAAUAAAUAUACAUAUAAAGAAAAAUAAAUAAUAAGUAAAUAUACAAUAUAAAAAAUAAAAUUAUUACAUUAAACAAUAAUAAGUGAGGCUCCAUAGAGCGUCGACAUCAGCGGUAAAAAUGUUUUCUAAAAAAUGACACGUGGCAUUAACAAAAAAUAAAAAAUAAAUAUACAUAUAAAGAAAAAUAAAUAAUAAGUAAAUAUGCAAUAUAAGAAAUAGAAAUAUUACAUUAAAAAUAAUAGGUAAAUAUACAAUAUAAGAAAAAAAAUGAAAAGUAAAUAUACAUUAUAAGAAAUAGAAAUAUUGCAUUAAACAUCUAUCAUAAUUUAUCUUCUGAUAUAAAAGCAAGAAAAUUAGAAUAAGUAAAUAUAUAAUUAAAAAAUAAAAAUACUAUAUUAAACAUCUAUCUGAAAAAUGUAUAUAUACUAAUAAAAUAGAGCUUUUGAGGCUCCAUAGAGCAUCUACAUCAGCGAAAAAAAAAACUUUUUCUAAAAGAUGACACGUGUCAUUAAUAAAAAAUAAAUAUACGUAUAAAGAAAAAUAAAUAAUAAGUAAAUAUACAAUAUAAGAAAUUGAAUUAUUACAUUAAACAAUAAUAAGUAAAUAUACAAUAUAAGGAAAAAUAAAUUAAAAGUAAAUAUACAAUAUAAGAAAUAUAAAUAUUACAUUAAACAUCUAUCAUAAUUUAUCAUUUGAUAUAAUUAAGAAAUGAGAAAAAACUAAAUUAAAAUCUAUUUGAAAAAUGUAUAGUGUAAUAAAUAAUAACUAAAUACACAACAUAAAAAUAGAAAUAUUAUAUUUUAUAAUUAUCGUAAUAUUAGAAUAAAUAAAUGAAAAUAUAAGAAAAAAAUAAAUAUUAAGUAAAUAUAGUAUAUAAGAAAUAAAAAUAUUACAUUAAAUAUAUAUCGUAAUAUUAUCAUUGAUAUAAAAACAAGAAAUUUAGAAUAAAUAAAUAUACAAAAUAAGAAAGAUAAACAAUAAGUAAAUAUACAAUAUAAAAAUGGAAAAACUAAAUUGAGCAUAUAUCUGAAAAAUGCAUAGUGAAAUAAAUAAUAAGUAAAUAUACAACAUAAAAAUAUUAGAUUAAACAUUUAUUAUAAUAUUAAAAUAACUAAAUAUAAAAUAUACGAAUCUAUACUAACAAAAAUGAGCUUUUGAGGCUUCAUAGAGAGUCUACAUUAGCAAAAAAAAUCUUCUUCUAAAAGAUGACACUUGACAUUAAUAAAAAAAUAUAUACGUAUAAAGAAAAAGAAAUAAUUAGUAAAUAUACAAUAUAAGGAAAAAUAAAUUAAAAAAUACAAUAUAAGAAAUAGAAAUAUUACAUUAAAAGCAAGAAAAUUAGAAUAAGUAAAUAUACAAUUAAGAAAUGAAAAAAAAAACUAAAUUAAACAUCUAUCUGAAAAAUGUAUAGUUAAAUAAAUAAUAACUAAAUACACAAUAUAAAAAAUAGAAAUAUUAUAUUAUAUUAUACAAUUAUCGUAAUAUAAGAAAAAAUAAAUAUAAAAUAUAACAAAAAAAUAAAUAUUAAGUAGGAAAAUUACCACAAAUAGCACAUUCAUAGUACCACUUUUCAUGUUUACACUAACCACUUUUACCAUCACUUUUAAUGAAGGGUAAAAGACAAUUAUACCCUUAGUGUUAACUAAUCUAGAUUUAGGGUUUAGAGUUGAGGGGUGGGGUAAGGUUUUUGGAAUGUGAAAUUUAGGAUUCUAAUAAAUAUAUAAAUAAAUACUUAAAAAAUAUAAAUAAAUAGUUUCAAAGAUAAUUUUCGUUUUUCAAAAAGAAAUUUGAAGAAAAAAUAAAAAAAAAUCGAAAAAAAAAUUUCAAAAAAAAAACGUUUUAUAGAAAAGUUCGAAUUUGAAAAAGUAUAACUCAAAAACAAAAAAAAAAUUUACUUUUUUUUAAUUUAUUUUUUUAUUUAAAUAAUAAUUUAUUAUAUAUAUGAAUAACAAAGACAUAAGAGUCUUUUGCCACUUAAUGAAGAAAGUAUUUUUGAAAAUGUCUUUUUAGUAGUGGUAAAAAUGAAAAGUGGAAAACAUGUAAUUUCCCCUGUUAAGUAAAUAUAGUAUAUUAGAAAUAAAAAUAAUACAUUAAAUAUAUAUCGUAUUAUUAUCAUUGAUAUAAAAGCAAUAAAAUUUAGAAUAAAUUAAUAUAUAAAAUAAGAACGAUAAACAAUAAGCAAAUAUACAAUAUAAAAAUGGAAAAACUAAAUUAAACAUAUAUCUGAAAAAAUGUAUAGUUAAAUAAAUAAUAAGUAAAUAUCCAACAUAAAAAUAUUAGAUUACACAUAUAAUAUAAUUUUGGAAUAUGUAAAUAUAAAAUAUAAAAAAAUAAUAAUAAGUAAAUAUAUAAUAUAAGAAAUACACAAAAUACAUUAGACAUCUAUCUAAAAAAUCUAUAAUAAAAUAAAUAAUAAGUAAAAUAAAAUAUAAGAAAUAAAAAUACUACAUUAAACAUAUAUCGUAAUAUUACAAUUUGAUAUAAAAUAAAAAUAGUUAGAUAAGUAAAUAUACAAUUAAAAAAGUAAAUGCACAAGAUAAGAGACAGAACAACUACAUUAAACAUCUAUUUGAAAAAUGUAGAUUUUUUACAUUUUUAUGACUUUCAAAUAUUUUUAUAAGUAAAUAUACAAUAUAAUAAAAAUAAGCAUACAAUAUAAGAAAUAUAAAUUUUACAUGAAGCAUCUAUUAUAAUAAUAUCAUUUGAUAUAAAAGCAAGAAAAUUAGAAUAAGUAAAUAUACAAUAUAACAAAAAUAAAAAAAUAGGUAAAAUACAAUUAAUAAAUGAAAAAUCUAAAUUAAACAUCUCUCUAAAAAAUGUAUAGUAAAAUAAAUAAUAAAUUAGUAUACAAUAUAUUAAAUAGAAAUAUUAUAUUAAGCAUCUAUCGUAUUAUUAGAAUAAGUAAAUAUACUAUAUAAGGAAAAUAAAAACAAAUCUGAGAAACAUACAAUAAAAUAAAUUAUAAGUAAAUAUAAAAUAUCAGAAAUAUAAAUAUUAGAUUAAACAUUAAUAAAUAAUAUUAUCAUUUGAUUUAAAAGUAAAAAAAAAAAUAGAAUAAGUAAAUAUACAAUAUAAGAAAAAUAAACAAUAGGUAAAAUACAAUGAAGAAGUGCAAAAACUACAUUAAACAUCUAUCUCAAAAAGGUAUUGUUUUACAUUUUCAUUAUUUAAAACUACAAUAAGUGAAUAUUAAUGCUAAAUAUUAUAAUAAGUAAAUAUAAAAUAUACGAAAGAAUAAAUAAUAAGUAAAUAUAAUAUAUAAGAAAUAAAAAAAUAUUACAUUAAAUACAUAUCGUAAUAUUAUCAUUGAUAUAAAAGUAAGAAAUUUAGAAUAAGAAAAUAUAAAAAAUAAAAAAAAGAUAAACAGUAAGUAAAUAUACAAUAUAAAAAAUGGAAAAACUAAAUUAAAUAUUUAUCUGAAAAAUAUAUAGUUAAAUGCAAAAAUGUAUAUUUAAAUAAAUAAUAAGCAAAUAUAAAGUAUAAGAAAUAUAAAUAUUACAUUAAACAUCUAUCGUAAUAUUAUCAUUUGAUUUAAAAACAAGAAAAUUAGAAUAAAUAAAUAUACAAUAUUGAAAAAUUCCCUUGGAUAGCCAUUUUUAAGUUUUUGCUACAAAAUAGCUAUAAAUGAGAAAAAUAAUCAAAAUAAGUCUUAUUAAAGAGUAAAAAUACAUUUAUACCCUAUGGUUAACUAACAUAGACUUAUGGUUUAGAGUUAAGGGGUGGGAUUUUGAGGAUAGGAUUUCAAAUUUUUAAAAAUUAAAAUUAAAAAAUUAAAUUUUUUAAAAUAAAAGAGACUAUUUUGGUCACUUUCUUUAUUGAAUACUAUUUUGUGACAAAAAAACUUAAAAGAUCUAUUUGAGAGAAUUGUCUUACAAUAUAAGAAAAAAUAAAUAAUAAGUAAAUAUACAAUAUAAGAAAGGAAAAACUAUAUCAAACAUCUAUCUUAAAAAUGUAUAGUUUUCUGAUUUUUUCUAAAUAAAUAUGUAUUCACACAUACAUACAAUUCAGAAUUUGUUGUUGUUCAGAAUACAACGUUCAAAAAAAUAACUAUAUGGUUAACAUUUGAAAAUAAAAAUAGCCCCGCACGUAGCGCGGAUUAACUCCUAGUCUUUACAUAUAAAAGAUGUUUUGCUCUCUCCUGAGGUUGCCACCUAGGAUUCCACUUAGGAAAGUCGCUUCACGAGGAGUCAACACGUGUCCCGCCUGCUCGAAACACAGCGUUUCAUUAAAGGAAUCAGCGAUCCAUAUGGGCUAAGUUUGUGUGUGGGCUUUUUUUUAAUUUGGCACAAGAAAAGCAGCCCGAUAGCAGUCAACCCUAAUAGCACAAUGUUCAUCUCCGUUCUUUGUUCUUCGUCAUCUGAUCUUCUUUUUCAUCGACCAAAAACGUUACCAGUUACAGAUUCGUCUCAUUAAACCUCUUCUUAACUCCAUCAACCACGAUCUGGUCUUGAAUGUGAACUUCUCUUCUCCGAGGCGGUGUCACUGCGAAUAUAAAAAGUUAAGCCUUCCUCUUAUCAAAACCAUCUUCUUGAUCUGUUGAACCAACAAAGUAAAGUUAUUUUCACAUAAAUGGCUAACUCGAAAGUUCUUAUUUCUCAUUUGAAAUCUGGUAAAUUUUCUUCUCCGGUUGAGGUUAGGUUGAUGCGUUGACUUCCUCUGCCUAGAAAAGGGAAACAUGAACGGUUAGUGGCUACACUCAGUCAAUUCGUCUGGACUUCUUCUUAAAUCGUUAUGGGCGUCAAUAUGCUUCUCCUUGAAGCCAAGGUUGCUCCGGCGAUUUAGAAAACAAACUCAAGUUUUUUCUGUAAGAUUUACAAGUAACGUGAUCUUAAUUAAUUUGUGAUCUUAGUCAUACGAUGUUUGCUUCUUCAUUUUGUUAAGCUCCUCGGUCUUUUUAAUCUGACAAUGGCUCGAACAAAUGCAGAUGAUGAUUUAAAGUCAAAGUCUUUACAAGCUGAGUUUGGCGAAAAGAGGAGCUUUGGUCGCGGUUUCUGUAUUACAGUCAAGAGAUUGCAACAUAUAAAAAAAUUACUAAUGCUCUGCUUCAUAGAAGGUAUGAAGCUACAUAUGGAGAAAUUCAAUGAUGGUAUUGUACUAAGAUAAAGGCUCCUUAGUAUAUUGAAACGAGAGUCUAUAGUGGGGACAUGUAAAGUUCCUAUGUUAUAAAUACCAUUUGAGUCAAAUAUCAUAUGUAAAUUUUUUCCUUGAGUCGAUUUUAGUUUUCAACAAUGUUUUUGUUUUAAAAAAUAGAUUAUUGUAUGAUAGUUUUAAGCAAUCUGCAGGAUAUUACUGAAGAAAACAAAUCUCCUCCAUGCCCAACAGAGUGGUUAUUCCGUGUUGAUAUUGUUAAUAAAUGGAAAGAGUCUAACGGUUUCAGUGCUACCCAGAUGUUUAGAGAAUAUCAAGAUGUCUGAUACGGCCUUACUGGUGAGAAGAGCAUUGUCUUUAAGCCAAUAUACUUUGUUUAUGGAUCUUCCAUAGAUUCUUUUGUGAAAAGGGGGAUUAGAAGUCUUUUGGUUCAAUGGAAAAUUAGCUCAGCAGUCCAGUGAGAAAGUGUUGAAGGAUGCAAUGAAACCAUCACAAAACAGUAAGUAAAUUGAUAAGUUUCUGACAAAAAAACUGUGAAUCAAAAAUAAAAUUAAAUAACUGUAUGAUAAUAUGACGUAUCAGGUUCUGCUUAUGUCUAUGAAAGCUGGCGUCGAACUGAAUCUAACCGCUUCUUCACACGUCUUCUUAACGGUACAGUUUAUCUUUACGAUUACGUUUAAGUUCCAAAUACGUUCCAACUAAAAACUCUAACAAUGUGAUUUCACCAUUUAUUUAUAAUAUCCCAUAAAAUAAAAUAAUAAAAUCAAAAAGAACUAAAAAAUAUCCUAACAAACAAUGAUUUUAAACUCAUUUUCAAAUGGAAAUAAUGUUUCAUAAGCUCAAACCAACGAAAAGAUCUAAUCUCACAAAUAUUUUUUCUUUUGUGUUACCAAACUCAAAAACCAAAAAAAUAAUAUGAAAAUUAAUGGAAAAGCAAAAUGAGGAAUUAUACAUAAUCAAACAUAUAGUUAAAAAAGAGUAACACUAUCUAAUAAAUAAAAUAAAAUACAAAUAGCAUACAUAUUACUAUCUCCCAAAUAUCAACACACUUUUAAAUAAAGCAAAAUGGCAUCGUAACAUCGUCUCUUGCAUUUUUUAAUUAAAGAAAUUAAUUACAAAGUUUUGGCGAACCGCAAUACACAAGAAAUCUAAAAAUAACAUAUGAUAAUGGAUUACCUCAAAUAAAUAAAUUUAAAAAUAAAAAUAAAAUACAUCGUCGCAAUAAAGAUAAAAUAUUAUAUCAUUCCAAGAACCACAACAAUAUAAUUAUGCAAUUUGGUCAACAACAGCUAAUUCAGCUCUAUAUAUCAUUAGAUAUUAUAUAAAUAAAGAUCACAUGUAAAUAAUGUUUCACAAAAACAGAAAAUUAUGCUUUUGAAAAUAAAAAUAUGUCGAUCUAAACACUUAAUUACGUCAAAAUCCCGCGCGGUGCCCUAGUAUUGCAUAACUAAGAGUUUAAUUACUUUCUCGCUUUCAACCUACAUGAAUUCUUAAGUUGGUGCAUAAUUACUCUGAAACUUGUUUUUAUCUAAAAAGUAUUAUUAAAAUAUAAAUUGAAAAUUGUUCAUUCAAUAAUAAAAUAAACUACAAAAUAUCAUUAGUUAUGAAAUUUUUGAUAAAAGUAAAAAUUACAUUGAAAAAAUGGAAACAUCUUCUAUUUUUAAACAUCAAAAACUUCCUUGUUUAAAACAGAUGGGGGUAUAACUUUAUUACAUUAUAUUAAGAAAACAAAGAAACUUGUCCUAUGAUAGCAUCAAAACUUGGAAAUGUGUAAUACAAAUAUGACAAUGGCCAGCCGAACAAAUUAGUUAGCAGGCCCUCUUCGUAGGGCACAAAAGCAUGUUUUUGAGAGUUCAGAGACUAAUCGAAACUGAUACGACGCAUCUUACAAACAAGAUUACCCGUAGGGAAAUCAAGUUCACUACCAGCGUCUGAUUUCAUCACAUCUUUGAGCUCAUCUCUUGGUGUAGCCACACACGUCUGGAAAGUUGCAAGCACAGGAGGAAUCGGCAUGGACAAGGCUGCAAGCACAUUGCUCAAGUACUCUAUAUCUAUACACAGUUGCUGUGCUCCUCGGUCUGAAAUGUAUUGGAUUCCUCUCAGUUGCUCCAUGUACAGAGCCGUUGCGCCUUCUGCUACCUUGAACAUCCACUCGGUUGCAAAGAACUGUGCGUCCUCGUUGUUUGAAUCACCAUUGGUUGAGAUUCCUUCAGCUAGAGGCUCAAGCUGCUGAGGUAAAGUCAGGAGAUAUUAUCCAACGCUUGUAACGUAAGCCUGAGGGUAUGAGCUGAAGUUUGGUAGAGCAAACGCAGUUUGUUCCUCCACAGAAGACCAGAUUGGUAGGCAAGAUACUUCCCCGAGUCUUUGCCUGACUUUUGAUAUGAGGAUGUCAUAUACAAGUUUGUUCACUGUGUCCUCAAACGCAGCUACUCUCUGAGAUGCCAAAGGCAGUGCGUGGAACUUGGAUCUUUUGACUGCAAAAAAAAAACAGCAAAAGGAAAUGAUACAUAUGAACAGUGUAUAUUAAUUUAUGAAUCUUUGUCAAUUAAGACUACCUGUUCCAACAGGUUUAGGAGUUUGCGAGCCUUCUCCGGAACAUCAACCAACCGAAUAGCUGCCACAUCCAGGGAAGCUCAUCCAGCCAUAGACAAAUCUCCAGCUGUUUGUUCACUUGUCAAAUGUGACAGGUUCUGAUCCAGAUUUGUGCCAAAUAGUGAAAUAGACAAGCUGGAGUUUAGUCUAGCCAGAGUGGCUCUCAAAGAAGCUUCAAACACAGAAGACCUGCUCAAGUCAGCUUCUCACCGUCUUUAUAGGAGCUUUCGUCUAAUAUUUUAAGCCUUCUGGUGUUGUCAAUCGAGACAUGGUAACAUAAAACUGUCCAUGGGUAAAUACAGGCCGGGGAAGAUAUAAAGCUGACUUGCUUUAGGCUUUGGCCUUGACUUUUAUUUAUUGUCAUGGCAUAGCUAAGUCGGAUUGGGUAUUGCCGUCUACGAAGUUAAAAGGAUGUAUGCUGUCAGUUGGGCUUAGCUGUAUCCUAGGGAGUAAUAUUCGUUCACCAACUUCUGGUCCGGUCAUUUUUAUCAAAAAAAACAAAAAAAAAAACUUCUGGUCCGGUCAUAAUCUCCACUUCGACAAUCACCAAGCCAUGAUCCUGAUUAACGUUGCGCAGUGAAUUCAAAGGAGUAGCAUGAAUGUAGUUUACUCAAACCGUGCCCAAACUGAUCCGAUUCGAUUGUAUUUUAUAAAUUCCUUACUAACAUUUUCUUGUAUUCCUCCUGUGUAUUAAAAUAAUUUUAAAAUAAAAUCUAAAAAUUAAACCCGGGUGGAAUUAUUCAUACGUUAGUCUCCCAAUUAAUCUUGAAAUUUGAAUAGUUACAAAACAACUAAAAUUUUAAUAAAUCAACAAUUCCAAUUUAGUUAUAUAAUUAUAACUUUAUUUUUCUUAAUCUUAGGAAGAUUGUGAAUGAAUUUACUUGUUCCGUAGUCAUUUGUAUCUAAACCGAAACAUAUAGUAAAAAAAAACUAAAUAUUAGGAAUUAGUAAAUCAGAGUAUUUCGGUUGGAAUGUCACGUAAGAUGAUAACUCGAAUAAUACUGAAAGUCUGUAUAGUAACUAAUUAUUUAAAUAUUCUAUUAUAUCAUUACUCAAAAGUUAGUUAUAGGAUGACAAAAAGUUUCCUUUUAGUAUUGUUAUGAUUUCAACGUCAAAAGCCAAAAACGCAAAGGAGUAGCAUGAAUGGAGUUUACUCAAACCCUGCCCAAUCUGAUCCGAUCACAAUUCUAAUGGAUUUUCCACUUUUAUUUCAGUUAAAAGAAUUGAAAAAACUAUAUAAGAGGGAAUAAAUUGAAAUAGUUUUUUAUUAUUGACUGAAACAAAGAUAAUCAAAGGUGCGAAAGUACUGCAGAUAAAUAAGAAGUAUUUAAACUUGGAACAUGAAACCAUAACUGCUGGUAUCCACUUUCUUGGCCAUCUUGGUAGAUGAGUGGGUCCUCUUCUUCGCCGAAGCAUCGCCUGGUUUCGCAUCAGUAUUCUUAUCUGCAUCACUACUGCCUUCUCCAGUUUCAACACGAACAGGAACCAGACCACCAUCUGCCAUGUCAGCAUCAUCACCAUCGUUUCUCCCCUGAUACAUUCGGAAAGUGUUACAUACUAACAGACAUACAUAGAUAAUCAAAGGUUCGCAAAAUCACUCUUACCUUAACGACAAAGUCAGGAACUGGAACACGCUCAUGCUCCUUAAGGAUGCGGGUGAUGGUGAGGUCUAAUGGUGUGCAGUGAAGUUAAACGUGCUAACUCUGACCUGGAAGGUGAAUGUUUUUCCUUCCAUGUCUGUGAUAAACAGCGGCACCUAAGAGUCCUCAGGACUUACUCCUUCCUCAGCCUGUUCGUCAGAAUUAAAGCACCAUGUAUGUUAGCAUUUAUAUUUAAUAAUCCUUUAAGAAGACUAAUGCACAUCUUACCAACACUGACCGGCUUCACUUGCUCGGAGGUUAUGCAGCUUAGUCAUCACACCAUCAAAACACACGAAUGCACCUUCAACUGUGCUGUCAGCGAUUGCCAACUCCACACGAUAACUGAUGGAGUUUACGGAAAAAAUGAAGACGUCCAUGCCUCUCCAAGGAUAGAAAUUAACGCCCUACAAACUUUCAGUUCUGAAUUAUUGCCUAUACACUAUCUAGCCCUUGACUAAUUUGCCAAUAAUGAAUUCAAGAAUUUUAAUCAUAUUUUUCUUCCUCCCAACAAGCUAGGCAUUUCGAAUCGUGACUGUGACCAGUUUUACAAGUGCAUCACAUCCGUCUUCUCGAAGUGGACUUUUAUUUAGACGUCACCGUGCUAUCACAUACGAGUUCCUGGAGCUUUGUUUUCAAGAGUUUAACAUGUGUGUUAUAGGUUUCUACGGCGUUACUUUUCUGAUUUUAUGAUAAAGAGGUUUAAGACAGAAUUUUUACAUAAACUUUGGUUAUGAUCUGGUAUCUGUAUUUCAAGUGUUUCCCUACAUGGAAUCACUUCCAAAACAAACAAACAAAAAUUAACUAUAUGAUUUCCCUACUUAUUUCUACCCAGAAACAAACUAAUAUCUUAAAACAUGAACGGUUGUUAUUGCAAAAAAAUCAAACAGAUUUAUUAGUUUGAUGGGAUUUAUUGUUUUCAAACUCUAGCAUUUAUAAUAUAGAAUAAAUACUUUAAAAAUAUAGUAGAUCAAGAUGAGAUGGUCAACAUUUUAAGGAAAACAAGUGAAGAAAGAUGACUGAAAAGAAUAAGAGAAAUUCUUGGGUUCACCCUCUAGGUGAAUCUAUAGGUUCACCAACCAAUGAAAAUUGGUUAUUUUAUAUACAAAUUUUUUCAAAAAAGGAAACAAAAUUUUUAAAAUUUAUUUUUUUAAAUAAAAGGAUAUAAAAUACAUAAAAAACGAAUAAUAACAAUAAAAGAUGAUUUUUUCAUAUUGUUAAAGCUGUUCAUAUUAAACACUAAAUCCUAAACCCUAAACAUGAAACCCUAAACCCUUGGAUAAAUCCUAAACCCUUGGGUAAAGAGAUAUUCCAACGGUUAUGAGUUUAUCCAUGGGUUUAGGAUUUACCCAAGGGUUUAGAGUUUAGGGUUUAGGGUUUAGGGUUUAGGGUUUAGUAUGAACGGCUUUAACAACAUUAAAAAAUUCUUUUCUUACAGCAGCUACUAUUUUUUUAUUUAUUUUUUAUAUUUUACCUAAGGGUUUAGGAUUUAUCAAAGAGUUUAGGGUUUAAGGUUUAGUGUUUAGGAUUUAUCAAAAUUUGUUUAUUACAAUUAAUAUUUUACCAUUAGAUAUAUUAAAAUAAUAUUCUAGAUCGAUAUUCAAUUUUCAGUUUUUAACUAUUACACGUAAAAAAUAUUAUUAAGUAUCUUUUUUUGAAAAGGGGGUUUUAUAUUUUAAGUAGGUUAUUGAAGUACUUUUUCUUUUUGUGAAUUUAUUUGAAAUGAGAUUUCGAUCUUUUAAACUAUGAUAAUUUAUGUUCUAUACAUAAUUAUAUAUUAUUUACGUAACUCUAAAAUCUCGGACUUGAUUCUUCAUAUUUUAUUAGUUAAUUGUGUUACAUAUACUAGAAAUACUUACUUCAAACUUAAAAUAUAAAAAAAAUCAAAUUUAAAAUUAGUUAUAUAUAAUUUAAUAUACAAGAAUUUACAUACAAAUAAAAAUGAUAAAUGUAAUAAAUUUAAAUAUAUUAUCCGCGCGUAGCGCGGAGAAAGGAUCUAGUUAAAAUGAUGACUAAAUAACAAAAAAGUUAAUAACAAAUCUAUGUUUUUUAGUUUUAUUUUCCUUUAAGUCUUGUUUAUUGAAGUUUGAUUAGUUAUCGUUAUCUUUUAUUCAUUCCAUAUUAAAUAAUGAAAUAUUUAAGAUCUAGUUUUUUUUUGUUUUAAAAUAAUUCUACAAGUUUUAUACACUUGGAUAUCAAGUUAACAACAAUGAAAAAUUAGUCCCAAAGAGUUAAAAAAGUUAUGGGCCCAUACAUAUGAAUAGUAGGAAUGGGUCCAAGACCGGCACUGAUUGACCCAACUGCCUCCUUGGAUCUUGGACCUGCUCAUUAAACCUCUGAGUGUUAUUUUCUUGUGAGAGAAUUUUCUGCCAUAAAUAGAGAUAGUCAUAUCAUUAUUAGAUCAUACUAUGAAGGCAUAUGUGAAAUUAAGAGCGGGUGGUUUUCAGAUAACUAUGGUUAAUGUAAGUUUCUUAAGAAUCAAAGCAACUAAAGAGAAGUGAAUCGGAUAAAUGUAAAAUAGGUUUGCGAGUUUGUAAUAGUUUCCUAAUUUCUAUUUCUUUACCACACAAACGAUGCAUUGAUUGUAAAAUAGGCUUUUGUGAUUAAUAAAUUUAACAUUUAUUCCAAAAAAAAGUGAAACGGAUAAAGACAAACCUUUUCUUGCACAUACUCUUUGCCGUGUGGUAUAUGAUGUUGCUCUUUAUCUGACUGAAUCAAGGAACGACUAGCUUCAAUUUCAGUCUCAAGUUGCUCGUUUGGAAACAACAAGCUAUACUUAGAUAAAUCGUCAUAUUUAACUGGAUUAUCAUUGGCAUGCACGUCAAACUAUAGGUACAUUAAUUUUCAUAAAGUUGAUAUGGAGAAGUUUUUUUCAUCGUUUAUUUUAUGAUGCUUAAACUUUAAAUUCACAUGUACAUUUAUUUAUUCUCAUUCUUGAUUUCCCUCGAACGCUGGAUCUUUUUUAGCUUGCUACGGAUUUUCUUGUCUCUGACUAAACGUGGGUGUUAUGAAAAUAGUAAACCUAUUCUAAAAUACGAUAAUAAAUAACCAUUAGACUUAAUAAUUAGAACAACAAAUAUAUUUAAUAUACUACCACAACAAAAUAUAUAGUCUAGUCAACCUUUUUAUUCCUAGACUACUAAUUUGAGAUAUAUUCAAAAUUAAUGGUAAUUGAACAAUUACCAAAAUAUUACAGUCAAAUUAUUUUUUACCAUACUACUAUAUGAAAUAUGUUGAAAAUUAAUGGUAAUUGAAUACAUUCCUAACGUUGUCCAUUUUGUGUUCUUGACUCUUCCUCUCAACUAUCUGUAUAUAUAAGAUUACAAGUGCAUGACUAUAUUUCAACAUCACAAAACAAAUAAAAGAUAAAACUAAAAGCGACAGCCAUGGGAACACCAAAACUGAAGUUGGCUGUCGAGGAGUUGGAGAUGGAUCAUCUCAUGCUCCAGAUCCAAAAUGGUAGAAUGCUUGAUGACCUUUCUCAAACCGAGACUGAGAAGUUAAAGUCAUAUGCAAGUAAGAAGUUCCAAACUCUUAUGGGUGAGAUCCCAAAGGCACCAUUCCCAAUGAUACAGGGGGGAAGUGUCUAUUUGAUGGAUAAGUGGAUCAAGGAUCCAUCUGAUAAGGAGGAUGAGAUGAAGAAGACCUGUGAAGGAGAGAGCAGCAAGUCUGGUGGUGCGGACGAUGCCUAAUGAAGCAGCUAGCCGUCGAAUAAUAAAAUUAAUGUGUCUUGGAAUAAAGUUGUUAUUGUUGUGUCUUUGCAUUCUCGUUUCAUAUUUCUAGUUUUUGUUGCUUUGGUCAUGUUUCCUGUUUUUUGUUUCUUGUUGUGUCUUAAACAUGUGUCUUUGUUUGCAUAUGUUAAUCUAAAUAAUGCAAUGUUUUCCCUUUGCAAUCAUUAAAGAGCUCAUCCCGUAUUUAACACUGUUUUUCUAGAGCUCAACAUAAAGCAAAUUGUUUGAGAACAAUAAGCAAUAUAUAUACACAUUAAUUUUCAUGAAUAGUUUGUAUGGAAAAGUUUUUCUCAUCGUUUCUUGUAUGAUGCUUAAACCUUAAAUUCACACGUAAUAUUUAUUAUUGUCUUUCUUGAUUUUCCCUCGAACGCUGGAUCUUUGGCUGCUUACUACGUAGCAUUUUUUUUUUCUUUUUAGCAUUUACAUUAAGACCACAAAUUACUCAGUAUCUACAAUUUCAUGAGAUUUGUUUUAGAGUGUGUGUGUCCUAUUUUUUGCAGACGCUGGUCUUCCUAGGGAUGGCAAUUGGUACCACCCGCCCCGCUGCGGUCUCUAUCUCAUGUGGAUCUUUGCGGGUCAGCCCGCCAUGACCCGCGGUACCCAAACCCGCGGGUAGUAAAAAAGAUGAUGUUUCGUUGUGGUGAGAAGAUUAUGUUUCCACAUGUUUUCUUGAACGAGGACGGCUCUCAACUCAAUACUGUAACUUAAUAACAGCAUGUGCACUACUAGGACUUAACAGAAACGAAGCAAACAAACUUCUUCCAUAUAAAGUAGGACUUAACAGAAACGCAUCAUUGCCCACAGAGAAAGGAAGGUAAAUUCUAUCUCCUACAUUCAAGGACUCCUUGGCUGCCACCUUCAAACAGACAACAUCAGCUUCUUAAAAAACAGUUCUUGUCCUAACCAAGAAUUAACAGAAGAGCUAUUUACCCUUUUAAGUUGGCUUCUUUGUAGUUCAUCACCGUCAUAAGUCACAUGCCCUUCUCUUUUUUAACCUGAAACACAUUUACAAAUCUCUUAAUCAUGUAACUCAAUGGUUCGAUCGAAUCAUCAAAAUAAAAUAUUUUAGCUGAAGAGAUCACGGACCUGUCUUAAACGAAAGAGUUUCUGUACGAGGUUUCUAGGUAAGUCCAGACGAAGAAUCCACCUCAGCUCCGGUGGUGGGAUCUCCAAGAAGAGAAGCUAUGGGGGUGGAAAGAAAACGGAGAGAAGCUUCACUGGUGGUUCGACGAAGAAGAGAAGCUCCGGUGGUGGCCUUAAUCAAAGAGAAGAAGAACCGGUUGGUGGUGAUGCUCCUCUGGUGCUCGACGGUGACUCGGUGGAGUCGUGGAGAACAUGAAUCGCCAUUUUUGUGAUCUCUCUUUUUUUUCAGGUGGAAACAAAACAAAACAGGAAGUGGUGCGGGUUCUUUCUGCCCCGCAAGACCCGCGAUAGUCCAAACCGCAAAGGCCCAAACCCACAUGAGACUUAACCCGCGACACCCGCUCACAAAUGGGCCUCAAUAUCUCUACCCAAACCCGCCCCGCAUGGGUCUUCUACGGGCCCAGCCCGUGGGCUGCGGUUUAUUUGCCAUUCCUAGUUUUCCCAUAAGUGUCCAAGUUAUUCACUCCCACCCAUUAGUCCAACGCUUUCAGUGUAAUGAUAAAAGAAAGCCAAAGUGGAGAGGGAUAGAGAGAGUAGAAUUACACCCCAAAGAUUCCAAUAGCAUUAAUCUUCUUAAUCGCUUCCCUCAUCGCAAAACCUUCUGCCAUUAGUGGUGACAUAACAAAGUUAGUGGAGAUUGAAAAUCUCUGAGUCUCUCUUGAAGUUUUGAUAGUCCAUCCCAGUCUAGCAGCCCCUGAUGUUUCAGUCUUGAAGCACGAUUUAACAUAUGUUUUUAAUAGGAAAGAAAUAAACCACAUGUGGAACAUGUGCUAGGGGAAAACAAUGUCCCUGUAAAAAUGGACUAGACACCACGUAGUGGCAGCUGAUCAAGCUCAGUUACUAGCUCCGUCAACUUAACCUGAUUUUCAUUCCUGCAUUGAACCAACUGCCUCCUUAGAUCUUGGACCUGGUAAUUAAGCCUUUGAAUCUUAUUUUCUUGUGAGAAAAUUCUCUGCCAUAAAUAGAGAUAGUCAUAUCAUUAUUAGAUCAUACUAUGAAGGCAUAUGUGAAACUAAGAGUGGGUGGUUUUCAGAUAACUAUGGUUAAUGUAAGUUUCCUCAGAAUCAAAGCAGCUAAAGAGAAGUGAAACGGAUAAAGACAAACCUUUUCUUGCACAGACUCUUUGCCAUGUAGUAUAUGAUGUUGCUCUUAAUCUGAUUGAAUCAAGGAACGACUAAAGUUUUCUUAUAUGGAGAAGUUUUCUUCAUCGUUUAUUGCCAUUCUUGAUUUCCCUCGAACGCUGGAUCUUUCGUUGCUUGUUACGGAUUUUCUUGUCUCUGACUAAACGUGCGUGUUAUGAAAAUAGUAACCUACUAGGCAGUAACUCGCGAUGUGAGCGGAGUAAAAUAGUUUAUUAGAUUAUUUAUAGUAUGUUGUACUAAAAGAUUUGUCAUAUAGCUUUUUUGGAAUAAAUAUUCAUAUAUAUGUUCGAAUUCAGUUGAUCUAUCGGGAUUUCACACUUUUAGAGUUAGAUAUUUAAAUCUUAUUCAGAUAUUUACAAAUUUUGGUUUAGAUUUGGUUUCGAAUCUUUGCGGGUUCAGUUCGGAUUCGAGUUCGGAUAUCCAUUUUAAUCAGGUAUUUUUUAACAAAAAUAUAAAUAUACUUAAAUGCUCAAAAUCCAAAAAUAAAAUAAUAUAAAACAUAAAAAAAUUAAUAAUGUAAGACUAACUAUUUAAAUUUACAUAAAAAUUCAUUCAAUUUAAAUAUUUGGAUGGAGAACAAAUAAAUAUUAUCAGUAUUUUUAACAUUUACUGUUAUUUUUAGAUAUUUACUUGUGUCUAUGUUGAUAAUUUUGAGAUACUUUCAUAUUUUUGAAUAUCUAAUGAAUAUAAAAUUUAAAAUAAUUAAUAUAUUUAAAUAUAUAAUUGAGAUUUAGAUAUUUUGGUAUCCAAAAUAUUUUAUUUUGGAUUAGAUUCGAUUCUGGUUAUCUAGAUAUUAAACUUUUAAUCCAUCUGAAUAUACUGAAUCGUUUUAGUUUGUGUUUAGUAUUACUUUCAAAUCUAGUUCGAUUCAGUUUCAGAUCCAGAUGAGUUAAUCAAAUAAAUAGUGUGUGAGCACAUUAAAUUAUUUGCGGUAGAGUUAAAAAAUUAGUGUGUGAAUGCAUUAAUUGUUAAAUGAUUGUGAGGCCGACACGUCAGCAUACUCAAAUUGAAAUCAAUGUGAAGCUAUAACAUAGAAAAUAUAGUGUGAACGCAUUAAUUACAAAUGUUUCUCUUUUAAUAUAUAGGAGAUACUAAAAUACGAUAAUAAAAAAAAUAGACUUAAUAAUUAGAAAAACCAAUAUAUUUAAUAUACUACCACAACAAAAUAUUUAGGGUCAAACUGGUAACCACUAUAGGAACACUAGGAAUGAGUAGGAGAAAAAUGUAGAGAAAUAAAAUUAUAGGAAGAAAAGAAAGAUUAUUCCUUACCGAUUUUAAUGAGAAACAAAUUUGUUCUAUAUUCCUCUAGAAUAAAAGGAAUGAGAAGAAUAAAAAAGAAAAAUUAUUUCUUAUAAAUGGUAAAAAUAAUUAGAAAUAGUAAUAAAUUCAUCAUUCCCUUUCAUUCAGUGGUCACCAGGUAGACACUCAGUAUAGUCAAACUUUUUAUUCCUAGACUACUAAUUUGAGAUAUAUUCAAAAUUAAUGGUACUUGAACAAUUACUAAAAUAAUACAGUCAAAUUAUUAUUUACCAUACUACUAUAUGAAAUAUGUUGAAAUUUAAUGGUAAUUGAAUACAUUCCCAAAGUAGUCCAUUUUGUGUUCUUGACUCUUCCUCUCGACUCUCUCUAUAUAUAUAAGAUUGCAAGUGCAUGACUAUAUUUCAACAUCACAAAUAAAAGAUAGAACUAAAAGCGACAGCCAUGGGAAGACCAAAAGUGAAGUUGGCUUGGGUCGAGGAACGAAAGAGAAGAGCUACUGUUUGCCAGCGGAGAAUGAAAGAAUUGAUUCAAAUGGCUGAAGAACUAACCAUCGUUUGUGAUAUGAGUGCAUGUUUGGUCUUUUACAACCGUAAAAAUGGUAAGCUGGUGGCGUGGCCAUCUCUGGAGGAGGCUCAAUCUCUCAUCGACUGCUAUAACGCAUUACCGGAAACCGAGAGGAACAUGAAGGCGGAUGAUGAAGAGUCAUCAUUCAUCAAGACCAUUACCAAGGAGAUCGAGAAGAAACUAGAGCUUUCUCGGAAGGCUAUCGAGGAGUUGAAGAUGGAUAAUCUCAUGCUCCAAAUCAAAAAUGGUAGUAGAAUGAUUGCUGAUCUUUCUCAAACCGAGAUUGAGAAGUUAAAGUCAUAUACAAGUAAGAAAAUUGUGUAUUAUGAUAGAGAGUUACGUAAGCAACAUCCGAAUACGAGUGGCAAUGAGCCAUUUCUUGAGGAUGACGAUGGGGAGAUGAAGACCUAUGAAGGAGAGAGCAGCGAGUCUGAUGGUGCGGACAAUGCCUAAUGAAGCAGCUAGCCGUCGAAUAAUAAAAUUAAUGUGUCUUGGAAUAAAGUUGUUACUGUUGUGUCUUUGCAUUCUCGUUUCAUAUUUCUAGUUUUUGUUGCUUUGGUCAUGUUUCUUGUUUUUUUUUGUUUUUGUUUCUUGUUGUGUCUUAAACUUGUGUCUUUGUUUGCAUAUGUUAACCUAAAUUAAUGCAAUGUUUUCCCUUUCAAUCAUUGAAGAGCUCAUCUCGUAUGUAACACUAUAUGUUUUCUAGGGUUCAACAUAGCAAAUUCUUUAAGAAUAAGCUAUAUUUUGAUAAAGCAUCGUAUUUAACUGAGAUUAUCAUUGGCAUGCAUGUCAAACUAUAGGUACAUUAAUUUUCAUGAAUAAUUUGAUAUGGAAAAAGUUUCUCCAACGUUUCUUUUAUGAUGCUUAAACCUUAAUUUCACACGUAAGAUUCAUUGUUGUCUUUCUUGAUUUUCCCCGACCGCUGGAUCUUUGGUUGCUUGCUACGUAGUGAAACUUUUUUAAGCAUAUACAUGAAGAAUACAAAUUACUCAGUAACUACAAUUUCAAGAGAUUUGUUGAAGUGUGUGUCCUGUCCAAGUUAUUGACUUCACUCAUUAGUCCAACGCUUUCAGUGUAAUGAUAAAUGAAACCAACGAGAAGAGAGAUAGAGAGAGAGUAGAAUUACACCCCAAGAUUCCAAUAGCAUUCUUAGAUACACAUACUUGAUGUAGUACACCUAUAAGGACAUCUAUAAGGACCACUCUUCUUUGAUUGCUUCUUCAAAGUACACAGAACUUUCAAGUGCGCAGUGUUUAUAAACAAGGCUUUUGGGGUAUUAGGUUGAUUAAAGAAUCUUGAUUAACAUUUCAAGCCUGUGAAGUGUGUGAGAGAAAGCUUCAAUCUGCACACACCAAACAUGUGAUUCAGAAUACAGUACUCAUGAGGAUUCAGUAGGGUGAAAAAAAUGCCCUUCUACUGUAAAACCUUUAUGCAGAGAAAGCUAUGGGCGUUCCCCAGUCAAAAAAAAAAUAUGCUUCUAAAAAAGUUUCAGAAGGAUAUUGCAACUACUUACCUAUAUCUACUGAGAGAUAUUCAGAGACAGACACAACAUAAUGUGUUCAUGAAGGUUUAUAUGUAAAGUGUCCACUGAACUUUGACAUGGAUAUACUUAGGUGAAACGUUUCAUCUUCUAGCAAAUUCGUUCUUCCCUUUAUAAUAUCUCUAGCCAGACUAUGUACAAGUUUUCAACUACCUCUAACAGUGUUCCCGGGGGAAAAACCAAAUUCUCCAAUGUCCAAAUCUAUUGAAAUAUCUAAGGUAAAAGGUCGAGACAGCAAGCAAGCACUCAAGAAAAAAGUACGCAUGUGGCUCGGAUCAAUAGGUAUGAUAUUCAUAUGGAAAAUUCAUUUUGAUAACCCUGGACCAGAUAUUAAUUUAGAAACCAUGCUGCCAUAUUCUGUCAAUCAUAUCCAAUAAGAUCAAUAUCUCAUAGUGCAUCAAAUUAGUUGGCAAUUGAUUCUAGCCAUCAAAUAGGUAAUUCUUGAAGCAUGAUUUAUUUUUUUUGGAAAGCAACUUCAUUGAUUAAAAACAAAAUUGAUUAAAUCCGUUGUUACAUGGCGUAAGGCCUCCUUAGCUAAGAAAUCAGCAUCAUAAUUCCUCUCUCGAGGAAUCCAACAGAAAGAAAUAGCAUCAAAAGAGCUAGCAUCUAUUCUAAUAUCUGAGAUUAUCCCACAAAUCUCCAAAGGCUCAGUAGAUAUUAAUUAAGUGCUUUGAUCAGCUGUGAGGAGUCUGAUUCACAUCUUAGUCACCGGAUCCCCAGUUCCUUACUCUUCCUAAUCGCUUCCCUCAUCGCUAAACCUUCUGCCAUAAGUGGUGACAUAACAAAGUUAGUGGAGCUUGAAAAUCUCUGAGUUUCUCUUGAAGUUUUGUUAGUCCAUCCCAGUCCAGCAGCCCCUGAUGUCUCAGUCUUGAAGCAUUAUGAUUUAACAUAUGUUUUUAACUGGAAAGAAAUAAACCACAUGUGGAACAUGUGCUAGGGAAAAACAAUGUGCCUGUAAGAAUGGACUAGAGACAACUUAGUGGCAGCUGAUCAACUCAGUUACUAGCUCCAUCAACUCAACCUGAUUUUCAUUCCUGCAUUGAACCAACUGCCUCCUUAGAUCUUGAACCUGCUCAUCAAACCUCUGAAUCUUAUUUUCUUGUGAGAGAAUUUUCUACCAUAAAUAGAGAUAGUCAUAUCAUUAUUAGAUCAUACUAUGAAGGCAUAUGUGAAAUUAAGAGCGGGUGGUUUUCAGAUAACUAUGGUUAAUGUAAGUUUCUUAAGGAUCAAAGCAACUAAAGAGAACUGAAUCGGAUAAAUUUAAAAUAGGUUUGUGAGUUUGUAAUAGUUUCCUAGUUUCUAUUUCUUUUCCACACAAACGAUGCAUUGAUUGUAAAAUAGGUUUUUGUGAUGAAUAAAUUUAACAUUCAUUCAAAAAAAAAAGUGAAGCGGAAAAAGACAAACCUUUUCUUGCACAGACUCUUUGCUGUGUGGUAUAUGAUGUUGCUCUGUAUCUGACUGAAUCAAGGAACGACUAGCUUCAAUUUCAGUCUCAAGUUGCUCGUUUGGAAACAACAAGCUAUACUUAGAUAAAUCGUCAUAUUUAACUGGAUUAUCAUUGGCAUACACGUCAAGCUAUAGGUACAUUAAUUUUCAUAAAGUUGAUGUGGAGAAGUUUUCUUCAUCGUUUAUUUUAUGAUGCUUAAACUUUAAAUUCACACGUACAUUUAUUUAUUGUCUUUCUUGAUUUCCCUCGAAUGUUGGGUCUUUCGUAGCUUGGUACGGAUUUUCUUGUCUCUGACUAAACAUGGGUGUUAUGAAAAUAGUAAACCUAUACUAAAAUACGAUAAUAAAUAAACAUUAGACUUAAUAAUUAGAACAACAAAUAUAUUUAAUAUACUACCACAACAAAAUGUAUAGUCUAGUCAACCUUUUUAUUCCUUGACUACUAAUUUGAGAUAUAUUCAAAAUUAAUGGUAAUUGAACAAUUACCAAAAUAUUACAGUCAAUUAUUAUUUACCAUACUACUAUAUGAAAUAUGUUGAAAAUUAAUGGUAAUUGAAUACAUUCCUAACGUUGUCCAUUUUGUGUUCUUGACUCUUCCUCUCAACUAUCUGUAUAUAUAAGAUUACAAGUGCAUGACUAUAUUUCAACAUCACAAACAAAAGAUAGAACUAAAAGCGACAGCCAUGGGAACACCAAAACUGAAACAUAUAUAUAACUAGAGUCGGCCCGCCCGUAUUUUACUUGUAAUCUAGAUUAUUAUUUUUUGUAUGAUUUUUUUGUGUCUAGGAUAGAAAUUAACGCCCUACAAACUUUCAAUUUUGAAUUAUUGCCUAUACACUAUCUAGCCCUUGAGUAAUUUGCCAAUAAUGAUUUCAAGAAUUUUAAUCAUAUUUUUCUUCCUCCCAACAAGCUAGGCAUUUCGAAUCGUGACUGUGACCAGUUUUACAAGUGCAUCACAUCCGUCUUCUCGAAGUCCAUGCCUCUCCACAUUUGCCUUGCAUAACUACCUCAAUGUUUCCGUUGUAGAAGACGCUCUGGUAUGGAUUCCUUCCACGGGAAGAUGAUAUAACCCACCAGAUCAAAUAUUCCAGGCUCUGCAACAGGGAGGAGUUUGAUCAAUUGCUCUGGUAUGGCUACGCUUUCCAUUUUCCAGUUUUUCUGUAUAUCACUCUCUCCUGCCGUGAACCACAAAACAUAUCACUCAACCUGAACAACAUUAAAAAGCUGAACUUUAAAACACAUCGAAAGAUCACUCCUUCUCUACACAGCUAAAGUCAGAAACAUUGGAUAAAACAGUAAACUUUACAAUUUAAAACGAAGUUUGUCUCCUAAAGAAAGCUAUUAAGUAAACAGAAUAAGAUUCAACUUUCAUGGCAAAUCCUUUCCAUCCACUUCAUCUACCAAAAAAAGAGAAAAAAUCAGAAUCAAACUUCAUGGCAAAUCCUUACCAUGGUCUUUUUCUAGCCUAUAUAAACUAUAUAUAACCCAUCAUCUUCAAAUCACAAACCUACAAAAAUAGAAAUAAUAUUCAUCAAGAGUUUCAACUAAGAGCAAAAUUCAGAUCUAAUAAAACUCAAACAAAACCCAGAUUUGUCUAUUCGACGGUGGUAAUCCUCCAUACAGCCUCUCCUCUCUUCCUCCACACUCCUCUCUGCUCCUCUACACCGUAUCGAUCCUCUGGUUCGUCUUCACACUUCGAUUAUUCAAACUUCACCAAAAUCAAAGCCACACAGAAGAGAUGAUGAGAAAGUAAAUAAUUUGUAGAUCUAAAAAGGAGGAGGGGAUUCAUUACCAUUAAUUGAUAGAAACGGUAGUGGAGAUGGAGAGACAUGAGAAGAGAUCUCCUGAUGGUGGAGAGACAUGGAGCAGAGAUCCGAGGGAAUAGAAGAACAGACGUGGAGAGCGAGAGAGAGAGACGGGAAGAGUAGAGACGUAAUAGCCGGAGAGGAGCGGAGCUGUCACGAAGUAGGAGAGGAGGCAUCACGGUGCUUAAUAACUUCACGUAGGAGAGAGGCAGAGGAGGAGAGGAGGUGUCACAAAGUUAUGAUCUGUAACUUAAAUGAAAUGCUAGUUUUUGGGAUGGUUGGACACGUGUCGUGCUCACAAAGCUCGACUUAUCUAGGUGGAAUCCUAGGUGUCCUAAGGAGAAGAGAACAAACUGUUUCUUUAUAUAUAAAAGAGUGUUUUGCUCUCUCCUGAGGCUGCCACCUAGGAUUCCACUUAGGAAAGUCGCUUCACGAGGAGUCAACACGUGUCCCGCCUCCUCGAAACACAGCGUUUCAUUAAAGGAAUCAGCGAUCCAUAUGGGCUAAGUUUGUGAAUGGGCUUUUCCGCGAAAACCUAAAAACUAUUUUUUUACGCCAAAACCUCAAAAAUGCAUUUUCCCGCAAAAUUGCAAAAACGUGUUUUCCCGUUAAAAUUGCAAAAACGUGUUUUCCGCAAAAACCGAAAAACAUGUUUUCAUGCCAAAAUCACAAAAAACUUCUUUUCACGCCAACACUCCAAAACACAUUUUUCGACCAAAACACAAAAACCCGUUUUUUCCGCCAAAAUUGCAAAAAAACGUGUUUUCCCGCCAAAACAAAAAAAAAAACGUGUUUUCCUACUAAAACCGAAAAUCUCAUUUUCCCGCCAAAGCUGAAAAAUCUCAUUUUCCCGCCAAAACCGAAAAAUCUCGUUUCCCGCAAAACCGCAAAAUACGCAAAAAGGCGUUUUCUUGCCAAAAACGUGUUUUCCCGCUAAAACCGCAAAAACAAGUUUUCCCCGCCAAAAACGCGUUUUCCGCCAAAACCGCAAAAACGCGUUUUACCGCCAAUAACAAAAUAUCUUAUUUUCUCGCCAAAACCGAAAAAUUUUAUUUUCCCGCGAAAAUUGCAAAAAACAUUUUUAUCUCCAAAACCGCAAAAGACGUGUUUUCCUGCCAAAAACGUGUUUUUCCGCCAAAACCGCAAAAACGUAUUUUCUCACCAAAAUUGAAAAUUUGUAUUUUCCCGCCAAAACCAAAAAAAAUCUCGUUUUCCCGCCCAGAACCGAAAAAAUCUCGUUUUUCGCCAAAAUCGAAAAAUGUGUUUUCUCGCUAAAACCAAAAAAACUUUUUUUCCCGCCCAAACCGCAAAAAGAAAACUCGUUAAUUUUGAAAUAAUUCUAAUGUAAAUAUAUUAAACUAAAUAAUUAAAUGUAAUAUAGUUAAAAUUAAUAUAAAACAUAUGAUUAAAUCAACACAAGAGUAUUUUGGUAAUUUGUUUACUAAAAUCAUUUGAAUGGAAAUGAAAAUAAAAAAAACAAACAUAAGAUCCAUAUAAAUGAUUCAUCUAUAUGAGCUAUGAGGAUGGACAAACAAUUAAUCACAAAAAUCUGAAUGAAUCAUUUGAAUAGAUCAUACAAAUAAAUCAUUUGGAUGGAGAUGACAAAUGGUGAAACAAACAACCCCUAUGUUAUUACAAAAUGGGUGGAGAAUAUUAACAAUUCUAUGAAUGGUUCCAUUGUAUUUUGAGCAUCCUUAAUAUCAUUUGAUUUAACAUACAUAAAAUAAAAAGAUUUCACAACACAAAAGACACUUUUUAAGAGGAAAAUCUAUACUAAUAAAAGGAAGCUUUUGAGGCUCCAUAGGGCGUCCACAUCAGCGGUAAAAAAUUCUUCUAAAAAUGACAUUUUGGCAUUAACAAAAAAUAAAAAGUAAAUAUACAUAGAAAGAAAAAUAAAUAAUAAGUAAAUAUACAACAUAAGAAAUAGAAAUAUUACAUUAAACAUUUAUAGGUAAAUAUACAAUAUAAGGAAAAAUAAAUGAAAAGUAAAUAUACAUUAUAAGAAAUAGAAAUAUUACAUUAAACAUCUAUAAUAAUUUAUCAUCUAAUAUAAAAGCAAGAAAAUUAGAAUAAAUAAAUAUAUAAUAAAAAAUAAAAAAUUAUAUUAAACAUCUAUCUGAAAAAAUGUAUCUAUACUAAUAAAAUAGAGCUUUUGAGGCUCAAUAGAGCGUCCACAUCAGCGAAAAAAAUAUUUUGUAAAGAUGACACGUGUCAUUAGUAAAAAAUAAAAAAUAAAUAUACAUAUAAAAAAAAAUAAUAAGUAAAUAUACAAUAUAAAAAAAAAUUAUUACAUUAAACAAUAAUAAGUGAGGCUCCAUAGGACGUCGACAUCAGCGGUAAAAAUGUUUUCUAAAAAAUCACACGUGGCA